GACGAACGCUGGCGGCGUGCUUAACACAUGCAAGUCGAACGGUGACCCGGAGCUUGCUCCGGUGAUCAGUGGCGAACGGGUGAGUAACACGUGGGCAACCUGCCCCCUGACUCCGGGAUAACUGCUCGAAAGAGCAGCUAAUACCAGAUACGACCACUUCGGGCAUCCGAUGGUGGUGGAAAAGUUUUUCGGUCAGGGAUGGGCCCGCGGCCUAUCAGCUUGAUGGUGGGUAGUGGCCUACCAUGGCGACGACGGGUAGCCGGCCUGAGAGGGCGACCGGCCACACUGGGACUGAGACACGGCCCAGGCUCCUACGGGAGGCAGCAGUGGGGAAUAUUGCGCAAUGGGCGAAAGCCUGACGCAGCGACGCCGCGUGAGGGAUGACGGCCUCGGUUGUAACUACUUCUAGCAGGAAGAAAGUUAGACGUACCGUGCAGAAGAAGACGACCGGCGUAACU
This 458-nucleotide ribosomal RNA is filed under the name uncultured bacterium. Its description in RNAcentral is "bacterial SSU rRNA". It matches the Rfam family "Bacterial small subunit ribosomal RNA", at positions 28 to 479 of the family's 1533-position model. The record is from RNAcentral.